Molecule: ribosomal RNA, 370 nt
Filed under: Trebouxia arboricola
Lineage: Eukaryota; Viridiplantae; Chlorophyta; Trebouxiophyceae; Trebouxiales; Trebouxiaceae
Description: eukaryotic LSU rRNA
Rfam family: Eukaryotic large subunit ribosomal RNA
Source: RNAcentral
UGCCUGCACCAUCGACCGACCAUGAUCUUCUGUGAAAGGUUUGAGUACGAGCAUACCUGUUGGGACCCGAAAGAUGGUGAACUAUGCCUGAGCAGGGCGAAGCCAGAGGAAACUCUGGUGGAGGCUCGUAGAUGUGCUGACGUGCAAAUCGCUUUUCGGACUUGGGUAUAGGGGCGAAAGACUACUAGUAGCUGGUUCCCUCCGAAGUUUCCCCCAGGAUAGCUGGAGCUUGAUCAGUUUUAUCGGGUAAAGCGAAUGAUUAGAGGUACCGGGGAUGAAACAUCCUCGACCUAUUCUCAAACUUUAAAUAGGUAAGACGUCUGGGUUGCUUAAUUGAACCCAGGCACUCAAUGAGAGCUCCAAGUGGACC